This 254-nucleotide ribosomal RNA is filed under the name uncultured bacterium. RNAcentral's name for it is "partial 16S ribosomal RNA". It matches the Rfam family "Bacterial small subunit ribosomal RNA", at positions 524 to 776 of the family's 1533-position model. The record is from RNAcentral.
UACGUAGGCAGCGAGCGUUGUUCGGAGUUACUGGGCGUAAAGGGUGUGUAGGCGGUUCUUUAAGUUUGGUGUGAAAUCUCCCGGCGUCAACUGGGAGGGUGCGCCGAAUACUGAGGGACUAGAGUGCGGGAGAGGAAAGUGGAAUUCCUGGUGUAGCGGUGAAAUGCGUAGAUAUCAGGAGGAACACCGGUGGUGUAGACGGCUUUCUGGACCGUAACUGACGCUGAGACACGAAAGCGUGGGUAGCAAACAGG